This 75-nucleotide transfer RNA is filed under the name Cordylochernes scorpioides. Its description in RNAcentral is "tRNA-Thr". The record is from RNAcentral. Lineage: Eukaryota; Metazoa; Arthropoda; Arachnida; Pseudoscorpiones; Chernetidae.
UGUCCAGGAAUGGGAAUCGAACCCACAGUGUUCCGCUUACCGGGCAGAUGCCAUGUCCACUAGGCUACCCAGGAC